This 2138-nucleotide unclassified non-coding RNA is filed under the name uncultured fungus. RNAcentral's name for it is "sequence contains 18S rRNA gene, ITS1, 5.8S rRNA gene, ITS2, 28S rRNA gene". The stretch from base 1008 to 2138 matches the Rfam family "Eukaryotic large subunit ribosomal RNA", at positions 1 to 961 of the family's 3401-position model. Lineage: Eukaryota; Fungi. The record is from RNAcentral.
GGAGGGAUCAUUAACACGUGCUGGAAGGGCAAGCAAGCAAUUGCAAGCCCGGACACACGAACCCAACCCCCAUCCAAACAACGUGAACACGAACCGUGUCACGACACAGCAAUGGACGAUCGAACAAUCAUCAGGGUGGAGUCAGUCUGGUCCGUGCUCAACAAGGCACGGAAGCUGGAGACUGACUAUGACUCGAUCUAGAGGCUCUCCGAGGCUUCAAUCCCGCUGUGCCGUGACUGAUGCGCGACCACCUGGCAGACUGCAACACACUGGGGCAUGUGCACAACCCUUUCGAGGGGAGUGCUCGUGGCUGGUGCCCCCUGCAGCGUUCUGCCGAAUCCUUUCCACUUUUUUUUUAACCCCUUUAACAUCACACUUAACUGAACCUUUUGUUCUGUACUCGUGCACGCUCACUCCGUGUGUGUUGUACUGUGUGCUUGACAACAAGAUACGUAAUGCUGAACAACUCUUAGCAAUGGAUAUCUUGGUUCUCGUAACGAUGAAGAACGCAGCGAAAUGCGAUACGUAAUGCGAAUUGCAGAAUUCAGUGAAUCAUCAAAUCUUUGAACGCAAAUGGCGCUCUCGGGAUAGGCCCGGGAGCAUGCCUCUCUGAGUAUCGGUUCGACCACUCGCAGACCGCGUCCGUGAGCUGUAACAAGCACACGGGCCGCGUGUCGUGCGGAAGAUGAGCGUCUGACGGGCUUCCAGCCAGUGUCAGUCGCUUGAAGCGGAUGAACUCGGCUUGGAGCGCACUAGACAGUGCCAAUGCGUGUUGUCUUCGGACAUGACGUGUUGGCUAGCAGGACUCUCAGAGCUCCUCUUUUACUAGUGACGUGGAUAGAAGCACCACUUGUUGGUCUUUCAAAACGUCUGCUAGCAAAGGGGGAAGCAGCGGGAGGCUUGUGAACGUGUAGAGGCGCACCAAGCAUUACACAAGAGUGUCAAUGAAACAAGCGCGGCUGUGACAGAUGUGCUUCGGCAUGUGUGUUGUGGCCGUUCUUUGAAUUGGAUCUCAGAUGAAGCAAGAGGACCCCCUGAAUUUAAGCAUAUUAUUAAGGGGAGGAAAAGAAACUAACAAGGAUUCCCCUAGUAACGGCGAGUGAAGCGGGAUGGAGCUCAAUCUGGGAAUCGAGAGUGGAAGCCCACGCCUCGAAUUGUAUCCUAGAGACGUACUGUCAGCGUGUGACCUCGGUGCAAGUCUUUUGAAACAGGGCAUCAUGGAGGGUGAGAAUCCCGUCUCUGACCGAGAGUUCGCCGCGUACGACGUAUGUUCGACGAGUCGAGUUGUUUGGGAUUGCAGCUCUAAAUGGGUGGUAAAUUUCAUCGAAAGCUAAAUAUCGACGAGAGACCGAUAGCGAACAAGUACCGUGAGGGAAAGAUGAAAAGAACUUUGAAAAGAGAGUUAAAAAGUACUUGAAAUUGUUAAGAGGGAAGCGCUAGCAAGCAGUCAAGACACGCAGCUAUACUUACUGGGGGACAGCGAACACAGUGUGCAUUCAGAUCGCAAGACUGAGGUGCGCUGAGGACGACUGGCUGCCGGGUCAUGUAGCUGUGUGUGGGUCAGAGUCAAUUCGGAGCGCGGCUCAAGGCCGGUGGAAAGGUAGGGUCUCCGGACCUGUUAUAGUCCGCCGGUUGUACCGUGCUCUGGAUUGAGGAUUGAUAAUGGACGCCUUCCGGUUUCGGCGCGGCUCUCAUGUUGGGUAGGAUGGCUCCGAGGACAAUGUCCUGUGGGCUGUCGCUGCUCGCGCUUGGGUGUCGCUGCCAGAUGUCCAUUCGCGAUUCUGACGAAAUGCUUGCUAUCGACCCGUCUUGAAACACGGACCAAGGAGUCUAACAUAUAUGCGAGUAUGCGGGUGCCAAACUCGAAUGCGUAAUGAAAGUAAAGGUAGUUGUAAGACUGCUGUGGUAGGAAAGGACUGUCGCAAGGCACCCUGGCACUAUCGACCGAUCGUCACUUGUGAUGGAUUUGAGUGCGAGCAUAUCUGUUGGGACCCGAAAGAUGGUGAUCUAUGCCUGAACAGGGUGAAGCCAGGGGAAACUCUGGUGGAGGCUCGUAGCGAUACUGACGUGCAAAUCGUUCGUCUGAUUUGGGUAUAGGGGCGAAAGACUAAUCGAACCAUCUAGUAGCUGGUUCCCUC